Molecule: ribosomal RNA, 1225 nt
Filed under: metagenome
Description: bacterial SSU rRNA
Rfam family: Bacterial small subunit ribosomal RNA
Source: RNAcentral
UGAUCGAUAGCCGGCCUGAGAGGGCACACGGCCACACUGGCACUGAAACACGGGCCAGACUCCUACGGGAGGCAGCAGUGGGGAAUCUUGCACAAUGGGGGAAACCCUGAUGCAGCGACGCCGCGUGAGCGAUGAAGCCCCUCGGGGUGUAAAGCUCUUUCGGCAGGGAAGAUUAUGACGGUACCUGCAAAAGCAGCUGCGGCUAACUACGUGCCAGCAGCCGCGGUAAUACGUAGGCAGCAAGCGUUGUUCGGAGUUACUGGGCGUAAAGGGUGCGUAGGCGGCUUGUUAAGUUUGGUGUGAAAUCUCCCGGCUCAACUGGGAGGGUGCGCCGAAUACUGAGAGGCUAGAGUGUGGGAGAGGAAAGUGGAAUUCCUGGUGUAGCGGUGAAAUGCGUAGAUAUCAGGAGGAACACCGGUGGUGUAAACGGCUUUCUGGACCAUAACUGACGCUGAGGCACGAAAGCGUGGGUAGCAAACAGGAUUAGAUACCCUGGUAGUCCACGCCCUAAACGAUGCAUAUUUGGUGUGGGCCAUUCAUUUGGUCCGUGCCGGAGCUAACGCGUUAAAUAUGCCGCCUGGGGAGUACAGUCGCAAGGCUGAAACUCAAAGGAAUUGACGGGGGCCCGCACAAGCGGUGGAGCAUGUGGUUUAAUUCGACGCAACGCGAAGAACCUUACCUGGGCUCGAAAUGCUAUGGACCAGCUGGUGAAAGCCGGCCUUCCCGCAAGGGACUGUAGUAUAGGUGCUGCAUGGCUGUCGUCAGCUCGUGUCGUGAGAUGUUGGGUUAAGUCCCGCAACGAGCGCAACCCUUGUCCUGUGUUGCCAUCAUUCAGUUGGGAACUCGCAGGAGACCGCCAGGGAUAACCUGGAGGAAGGGGGAUGACGUCAAGUCCUCAUGGCCUUUAUGUCCAGGGCUACACACGUGCUACAAUGGACGGUACAAAGGGCUGCCAACCCGCAAGGGGGAGCCAAUCCCAAAAAACCGUUCUCAGUUCGGAUUGCAGGCUGCAACUCGCCUGCAUGAAGCUGGAAUCGCUAGUAAUGGUGGAUCAGAACGCCACCGUGAAUACGUUCCCGGGCCUUGUACACACCGCCCGUCACAUCACGAAAGUGGGUUGUACUAGAAGUCCGCGCGCCGACCCGCAAGGGGGGCAGCGGCCCAAGGUGUGACUCAUGAUUGGGGUGAAGUCGUAACAAGGUAGCCGUAGGAGGACCUGCGGCUG